UACGGAGGGGGCUAGCGUUGUUCGGAAUUACUGGGCGUAAAGCGCACGUAGGCGGCUUUGUAGGUUAGAGGUGAAAGCCCGGGGCUCAACUCCGGAAUUGCCUUUAAGACUGCAUCGCUAGAAUUGUGGAGAGGUAAGUGGAAUUCCGAGUGUAGAGGUGAAAUUCGUAGAUAUUCGGAAGAACACCAGUGGCGAAGGCGACUUACUGGACACAUAUUGACGCUGAGGUGCGAAAGCGUGGGGAGCAAACAGGG
This 254-nucleotide ribosomal RNA is filed under the name uncultured bacterium. RNAcentral's name for it is "partial 16S ribosomal RNA". It matches the Rfam family "Bacterial small subunit ribosomal RNA", at positions 524 to 777 of the family's 1533-position model. The record is from RNAcentral.